CACCGCCUGGGGAGUACGACCGCAAGGUUAAAACUCAAAUGAAUUGACGGGGACCCGCACAAGUAGUGGAGCAUGUGGUUUAAUUCGAAGAUACGCGCAGAACCUUACCAACACUUGACAUGUUCGUCGCGACUUUAAGAGAUUAAAGUUUUCGGUUCGGCCGGACGAAACACAGGUGCUGCAUGGCUGUCGUCAGCUCGUGUCGUGAGAUGUUGGGUUAAGUCCCGCAACGAGCGCAACCCUCACUUUUAGUUGCCAUCAUUUAGUUGGGCACUCUGAAAGAACUGCCAGUGAUAAGCUGGAGGAAGGUGGGGAUGACGUCAAGUCCUCAUGGCCCUUACGUGUUGGGCUACACACGUGCUACAAUGGUAUUUACAACAGGAAGCGAGACGGCGACGUUAAGCAAAUCCUUAAAAAAUACCUCAGUUCGGAUUGCACUCCGCAACUCGAGUGCAUGAAGCUGGAAUUACUAGUAAUCGUGGAUCAGCGUGCCACGGUGAAUGCGUUCCCGGGUCUUGUACACACCGCCCGUCACACCAUGGGAGUUGGUUCUACCUUAAGGCAAGGUUUCAAACCCUUGACCACGGUAUAGUCAGCGACUGGGGUGAAGUCGUAACAAGGUAGCCGUAGGGGAACCUGCGGCUGGAUUACCUCCUUUCUAAGGAUGAAUAAAAUGAUAAUUUUAUUCUAAAUAAUAUACAGGUAAUGUUGACCGUCCUCAUUUCUCUUCUGAAAUAGUGUUUCUCUUGCAUGGGGGCCGGUAGCUCAGUUGGUUAGAGCACACCCUUGAUAAGGGUGGGGUCGAAAGUUCGAGUCUUUCUCGGCCCACCAAAAAGAUUAAGGGGGAUUAGCUCAGCUGGGAGAGCGCCUGAUUUGCAUUCAGGAGGUCAGCGGUUCGAUCCCGCUAUCCUCCACCAAAAACACUUAGUUAUAAAAAUUGUGAAUAUAAAUAAUAAUUAAUAUCAAUAUCUAUAUCCGAACAUUAGUAAAGUUAUCAUCUAAUGUUCAAAAAAAAUUUGAUUCAACACAGAAUUUUUUUCUG
This 1042-nucleotide small RNA is filed under the name uncultured Pelagibacterales bacterium. RNAcentral describes it as "bacterial SSU rRNA". The stretch from base 1 to 658 matches the Rfam family "Bacterial small subunit ribosomal RNA", at positions 867 to 1533 of the family's 1533-position model. Lineage: Bacteria; Pseudomonadati; Pseudomonadota; Alphaproteobacteria; Candidatus Pelagibacterales. The record is from RNAcentral.